GCUGCUUGCAAUGCAUCCAUCCACCAUGCAGGGUAAAAAAAAAAAUCAAAUCUUCAGCUCAUGGCAACAUCAGUUGGAAGAACACCAAAUUGUCAGCAUAGAUCAUCAUCAAAUCUUCAGGCCAUCAAACAUUGAAAAAGAAAGCAGGCAUGAAUAACUAACUAUGCUAAUCUGACAUGGAGCGCCGAUGUCUGAAUCCGUGUCAAGCUUGCUACAUGCAGAACAGUGAUUGCCAUGGCAGAUGCAGAGGUAGAUGCCUGUUCUCAGUGGGGGUUAGCUGCUCUAAUUCAUUGCAUUGCAGCAUUCAUAACUGCUGGGAGAGGAGUAACUCUGGCCUGCAAACCUCGCUACUAGUCGCCACUGCUGCAGCCCAGAGGCAACCACCAAUGCACACUCGGAAAACAUUACUGCAGCUCUAACAGUAAUUACUGAAGUGACAGGAUCA
Panicum virgatum (switchgrass) is the source of this 445-nucleotide long non-coding RNA. RefSeq lists it as uncharacterized. NCBI's taxonomy places the organism in Eukaryota, Viridiplantae, Streptophyta, Magnoliopsida, Poales, Poaceae. The record is from RefSeq and is a predicted model, not a curated record. The transcript is spliced from 2 exons.